GGGGAUGUAGCUUAACAGUGCAGCACUUUCCUGGUAAACAUGAGGCCCUGAGUUCGAUUCCCGGCAUCCUUC
This 72-nucleotide transfer RNA is filed under the name Fukomys damarensis (Damara mole-rat). It matches the Rfam family "tRNA". Rfam says of the family: Transfer RNA (tRNA) molecules are approximately 80 nucleotides in length. Their secondary structure includes four short double-helical elements and three loops (D, anti-codon, and T loops). Lineage: Eukaryota; Metazoa; Chordata; Mammalia; Rodentia; Bathyergidae. The record is from Rfam by way of RNAcentral.